UACUUCAUCUUAUUUUCUACUUCAAAAAAAAAAUAAUAAAAAAUAAUUUAAAAAAGCAAAAAAAAUUAAUAAAAAAAUAUAUAAAUAAAAUAAAAACCUAAUUCUUUCUCUCUCAUAUCAUCUUCAUCUUCUAUCUUUUAUUUUUUCUUCUCUACAGGAUGACUCACGCCGUUGCCGCCGCUCCAACCGAAAGCCACCGCUCAUCACGUCGCCGCUGGACUGCGCCAAAGACUUCAGCAGCCACGGCGAUUGGAUCUCGCGCACAUCAUAGGUCCACGAUCACGCUCCAUCCUCGCCGGACGUAGCCUUCAUGCAAGCCUCCCCACUGGUAGCGAGGCCCGCGCGACCUCGCUCCCCGGUUGUGCAUCUCUUUUCGCCGAUUGCAAGUCUGUCCGCGCCCUUUGCCGGUCGCGAUGUCUUCGCCGCUGAUGCCAGCCCAGCCACUCCUUUCUCACCGGUUGUAGCUUCUUCCGCACUGACACUGCCGCUCUGCCGCCGUCAACCUCCUCGCCAUCAGCAGCCACACUCCAGCGUUUGCAGAUGAGAUGAGUUAUGAUGAUGAAGAGGUGAAACAUGAGAUCCUGAAGCAACUCCAAGAUUGAAAAAAUGCAACCCAACCACCAGCAGCUUAAGUUCUAUACGACUUACUCCUCAGGGAAGUUUUUUUUAACUUACUUUUAUUUUAUUUUGUGGACUUCCCCCAUUUGAUUGAAUUUUUUUUCCACAUUGAGGACAAUGUGAGGAGUAAGUGUGGGGGAGAUGUGGCAUGGAAAUUGAAGAGUUUUUUUUUUUGAUUGAUGAGAUUGAUUGAUGAUUGAUGAACAUAUAUAUCUAUUUUAUUCUGAAUUUUUUGAGAAUUUUUAUUCUUUUUCUGCCUUUUUUUUUGAGUUUUUGCUGUUUGAGUUAGAGACUUGUCCAAGCUUAUAAACACUUGAUCUGUUUUUAUGAUUCUCAGUAAUUUCUCAGCACUUGUACUUGCUAAAUUGUUUCUCAUAUUUAAUUGAUUUUUAGUAUUGGCAUCAUUCUGAUAAAAAAAAUAAAAAAAUAAAUUUUACAACUCCUUACUUGCCAUAAGAAAUUGAUAUGUCCUUUAUUAUAGAAUUCAAGUUCUUAUGCCAUUUGUAUGCUAGCUUAAAUAGAAUAAGUUGAUUAUUGUUCAUUUUGUUAGUUUUAUUUUUAAAGCUUGUUUUGAAAGCUCAUGAAGUAUGGUCCUUAUUUAAAUAGUUGGGUAAUGAAUGCAUGUUCUUUUAAAAGAAUUGCUGCCCUUUGUUGAAAAUGAAUUAAAAGACAUUUUCUAGACUAUAUGUUUAUAUGGAAAUUAAGGCGUGUCAUCAAAGAAAAAUAAGAAAAAAAGAAUCAUAAAAAUAAAAAUUAGAAAUAAAUACACUCCUAUGACCCACUCCUUUAGUUGCUUGAUCAAUUGGUUACCAACCUGAUGGCCCAAGUAGUGCGGUACUUGGUGACCCCUUAAGGUGAUUUCGCAUGGAGAAAUUAGUGUUUGGGAGAGUAUCACCCCUUUUGGGCCGUUUAAAAAAAACUCGCACAUACCUUUUUAUUAGAUAACCAUGAGUGGAGCUAGUAGCCACUUGAGCUGAAUAACUUGUAGCAAGUGGCUCAAUAACUAUUUGUUUCACGUUCACUUGAUCGGUUUCAGGCAAGAUAUAGUAGGAAGUGUAAAUAAUAAAUAAUAAAUCUCCAAGUCUUUAAAUUUUAUUAGUCUAGUCAAGAGUUCCUAAGAUUCCAUUCUUUCAAAAAGGCAGUUUAAUAUUAUAUGACAUUCUAAUAUUUUAUGUGCUUAAAAUUGAAUUGAGGACCAAUUUUAUGUCUUGAGAAACACGCUUUAAAUAUGAAACUUAUUGAAGUGAACUUUGGUGAAAUUAAGUUAUUUCUGCUAUCAUCCUAUUGCAUGACAAUUUGAUUUUUUGUUUUGGACAAAUUAAAUUUUAGAUUGAUUGAGAACAGAGCUGUGUUUUAUUGUUUCAUUUUAAUUUCUGUGCUUGAGGACUAGCAAAGGUGAAAGUGAGGGGGAAUCUGAUGAGUUGUUUGAGCAGAAGUUGAGAAAAGGGACGAAAAAAUGCUGAAUUAAAGGAUUUUUGAACGGGGGUUACAACCUUGACCAGACCUAUAAUCCAGGGCGAUGAGGAGAUAAGAUAGAUUUUGCCACCUAAGCAAGGAUGAGAUCAGCUUCAAGUGGGGUCAAAUUGAAUCGAACUCAAUCAGAUUAGGAUAGAGAUAAGGUAGGAACAAUAUAUUUUAUUUUAAAUUAUUAAGUUUUAUCAUUUUGUGCCUUUAUAUAGGC
This is a long non-coding RNA of Manihot esculenta (cassava), 2299 nucleotides long. RefSeq lists it as uncharacterized. NCBI's taxonomy places the organism in Eukaryota, Viridiplantae, Streptophyta, Magnoliopsida, Malpighiales, Euphorbiaceae. The record is from RefSeq and is a predicted model, not a curated record. The transcript has 2 exons.